UACGGAGGUGGCAAGCGUUGCUCGGAUUUACUGGGUGUAAAGGGCGUGUAGGCGGCUUCGUAAGCCCUGCUUAAAAGGCUCUGGCUCAACCAGAGUUUGUGGCAGGGUACUGCGAGGAUAGAGGGUGGAAGAGGUGAGCGGAACUCCCGGUGUAAGGGUGAAAUCUGUAGAUAUCGGGAAGAACACCAGUGGCGAAAGCGGCUCACCAGGCCACACCUGACGCUGAGAUGCGAAAGCUAGGGGAGCAAACAGG
Molecule: ribosomal RNA, 253 nt
Filed under: uncultured bacterium
Lineage: Bacteria
Description: partial 16S ribosomal RNA
Rfam family: Bacterial small subunit ribosomal RNA
Source: RNAcentral